Molecule: long non-coding RNA, 711 nt
Organism: Manduca sexta (tobacco hornworm)
Lineage: Eukaryota; Metazoa; Arthropoda; Insecta; Lepidoptera; Sphingidae
Exons: 3
Source: RefSeq, a predicted model, not a curated record
AAGGCUAGAAUUUCACCAUGUAAAAGAAUUCCCAUAUAUAAUUGGUUGUAUUUAUUACACCCAUAUAAAAUUUAAAAAUAUGGUUGUGAUGCAGCCUAAUAUUAUAUAGAAAAGGAUAUUAUUCCCUCAAUGUUGUUGUUCAGGUGACUUGUGAUGCUAAUCUUCAGAUCAGAGAUAUUGUUAGAUGGCAAAGCAGCACUCAUAACUCCCGGAUAUUGCAACAAGAACUUUGGUGUGUGGAAACAGCAUUUUCAAUGUCUGUUCCAUAGCAUAUCUAAAAUUUGGCAAUGUGAAGACUACUAUUAUGGCUCUUGCAGUGUUGCACAACAUUGCAAUUGCUCAAAGAGAGAUAUAUGCCACAGAAAAGUGUGUCCGAUACUGAAGAGGUGUCAGAAUCAACUAUAAUUAUCAUCAUUGACCCAAAAUCUAGACUAAUGUUGUUCACACUGAAAGGUGGAGGUGGAUUAUAGUAUACUAAUGCAUCAUAUGCAUGCCUUAAUCUGUGUACUGAACAAAUUUUACAUCAUAUUUGAUUAUAUGUUAACUUGUCAUAAGAGCCUUUUAUAUGCCUACGUGAUAAAUAAAGGUUUUUAUUUAUUUUAUUUGUUAUUUUAAUCAAUAAAGACCUCAAAAAUAUUUUUUACUUUUGACCUACCUAAUACAACAGUAUCCCUACAUGAUUAUAGCAUAAAACGGAUACAUACAUAUCUC